This 483-nucleotide ribosomal RNA is filed under the name uncultured bacterium. RNAcentral describes it as "partial 16S ribosomal RNA". It matches the Rfam family "Bacterial small subunit ribosomal RNA", at positions 28 to 507 of the family's 1533-position model. The record is from RNAcentral.
GACGAACGCUGGCGGCGUGCUUAACACAUGCAAGUCGAACGCUGAAGCUCAGCUUUUGUUGGGUGGAUGAGUGGCGAACGGGUGAGUAACACGUGAGUAACCUGCCUCCUUCUUUGGGAUAACGCCCGGAAACGGGUGCUAAUACUGGAUAUUCACUGGUCUUCGCAUGGGGGUUGGUGGAAAGGGUUUUUCUGGUGGGGGAUGGGCUCGCGGCCUAUCCGCUUGUUGGUGGGGUGAUGGCCUACCAAGGCUUUGACGGGUAGCCGGCCUGAGAGGGUGACCGGGAACAUUGGGACUGAGAUACGGCCCAGACUCCUACGGGGGGCAGCAGUGGGGAAUAUUGCACAAUGGGCGCAAGCCUGAUGCAGCGACGCCGCGGGAGGGAUGGGGGCCUUCGGGUUGUGAACCUCUUUCGCUCAUGGUCAAGCCGCAACAAUGGUUGUGGUGAGGGUAGUGGGUAAAGAAGCGCCGGCUAACUACGUG